Molecule: ribosomal RNA, 464 nt
Filed under: Vreelandella stevensii
Lineage: Bacteria; Pseudomonadati; Pseudomonadota; Gammaproteobacteria; Oceanospirillales; Halomonadaceae
Description: partial 16S ribosomal RNA
Rfam family: Bacterial small subunit ribosomal RNA
Source: RNAcentral
CCUACGGGAGGCAGCAGUGGGGAAUAUUGGACAAUGGGGGAAAGCCUGAUCCAGCCAUGCCGCGUGUGUGAAGAAGGCCUUCGGGUUGUAAAGCACUUUCAGUGGGGAAGAAAGCCUUGGGGCUAAUACCCUCGAGGAAGGACAUCACCCACAGAAGAAGCACCGGCUAACUCCGUGCCAGCAGCCGCGGUAAUACGGAGGGUGCGAGCGUUAAUCGGAAUUACUGGGCGUAAAGCGCGCGUAGGCGGUCUGAUAAGCCGGUUGUGAAAGCCCCGGGCUCAACCUGGGAACGGCAUCCGGAACUGUCAGGCUAGAGUGCAGGAGAGGAAGGUAGAAUUCCCGGUGUAGCGGUGAAAUGCGUAGAGAUCGGGAGGAAUACCAGUGGCGAAGGCGGCCUUCUGGACUGACACUGACGCUGAGGUGCGAAAGCGUGGGUAGCAAACAGGAUUAGAUACCCGAGUAGC